GUCGCUGCCGUGAUCGUGGUC
This 21-nucleotide non-coding RNA is filed under the name Arabidopsis thaliana (thale cress). Lineage: Eukaryota; Viridiplantae; Streptophyta; Magnoliopsida; Brassicales; Brassicaceae. The record is from RNAcentral.